GUGUUUGCUUCGGCAGCACAUAUAACUAAAAUUGGAAUGAUACAGAGAAGAUUAGCUUGGCCCCUGUGCAAGCACGACACGCAAAUUCAUGAAGUGUUCUGUAUUUUU
This is a small nuclear RNA of Tupaia belangeri (northern tree shrew), 108 nucleotides long. The record is from Ensembl. NCBI's taxonomy places the organism in Eukaryota, Metazoa, Chordata, Mammalia, Scandentia, Tupaiidae.